Molecule: ribosomal RNA, 497 nt
Filed under: uncultured bacterium
Lineage: Bacteria
Description: partial 16S ribosomal RNA
Rfam family: Bacterial small subunit ribosomal RNA
Source: RNAcentral
GAUGAACGCUGGCGGCGUGCCUAAUACAUGCAAGUCGAGCGAACAGACGAGGAGCUUGCUCCUCUGACGUUAGCGGCGGAGGGGUGAGUAACACGUGGAUAACCUACCUAUAAGACUGGGAUAACUUCGGGAAACCGGAGCUAAUACCGGAUAAUAUAUUGAACCGCAUGGUUCAAUAGUGAAAGACGGUUUUGCUGUCACUUAUAGAUGGAUCCGCGCCGCAUUAGCUAGUUGGUAAGGUAACGGCUUACCAAGGCGACGAUGCGUAGCCGACCUGAAAGGGUGAUCGGCCACACUGGAACUGAGACACGGUCCAGACUCCUACGGGAGGCAGCAGUAGGGAAUCUUCCGCAAUGGGCGAAAGCCUGACGGAGCAACGCCGCGUGAGUGAUGAAGGUCUUCGGAUCGUAAAACUCUGUUAUUAGGGAAGAACAAAUGUGUAAGUAACUAUGCACGUCUUGACGGUACCUAAUCAGAAAGCCACGGCUAACUACGUG